Wyeomyia smithii (pitcher-plant mosquito) is the source of this 857-nucleotide long non-coding RNA. RefSeq lists it as uncharacterized. The record is from RefSeq and is a predicted model, not a curated record. The transcript is spliced from 3 exons. NCBI's taxonomy places the organism in Eukaryota, Metazoa, Arthropoda, Insecta, Diptera, Culicidae.
UUCAAGCAACAUCAAAUGUCUGAUCAAGGUCAUAUUUGAAAAAAAAAAUCAAGCAAAAAUCAUUUGCAAUAGAUUAGUUUUGACGUUAGCACUUCGAUCAGUUUGCACACAACGAGUGGCCCCAGCGCCGUGAUUCACAAUUAGCUAGCUAAUGUAAACUUUGCGAAUGGAGGUUCUGAAAGCUGAAGUAAACUAACAUUUUUUAUCAUCCUCAUUGUCGGCAAGAGUAGGGCAGUUGGAUGCGGCAGAAAGUGACUCAAUUUACAGAAGCCUGAAACUGCAGGAAACCGUUGAUUAUUCAUUACGCCAACAUCGUGUUCUCGGAAGGGUGAGCCGCGCUAAACAACACCGCCAUCAGCGCAAGCCGAUCUUAAACUACCACGCUUAACCCCGUCCUGAGCGUUCCAGCUAGAGUCAGCCAGUAGGCCUAUUAUGCGCAUCUGAUCGACAUAUGGGACACAGAUGUUGCCGUCUGGUCGGACAGCAGGCCAUCCCCGGCCGGACUAGUGAAAGAAAGUCACUAAUGCUGCUGCACCUGUGCCACCUGUAACCAAGGCGAACGAUAAAGCGGAUCGAGCUGCUGGCUGAUGAACCCUGUCGCACAGUGACCGGAAGUAGGACAAAACCUUCACUUCAUUUUUUAUCUGCAAUAACAUUCCAGUAUAACAGACCAUCAAAUUCUGCAAGGGCAUGCAGUAUUUUAAGUACAUCACUUUGUCUGUAAUCAACAAAGAAAGAAUGUAUCUGUGAAUUAUACUAUCCAUUAGACCAGCGAAGCUUCUCAAAGGAAAAAUGUCUUUACAUGUCUUCCCACCUGAGAUGCCAGCUAAAAAAGCCUGGAAAAAAUACCGGAAGAU